AAGUCGUAACAAGGUUUCCGUAGGUGAACCUGCGGAAGGAUCAUUAACACGUAUCCAACGUUAAACCCCCCGUGAACCUUCAUUGUGCUCCCCCAUUCCGUUAGGACGCGGCAAUCCCUGGUAAAUCAUCGCCGAACAGUUUUGAUUCAGGGACCUCUGCAUGGAGUGGGCAGCAGCGCGAGGCAAGUGGCCUGACACGGCCGGCGACCGGGUCACUGGGCUCACGCCCCCCUAUCACCUUUGCAUGAAAACGGGCCUGCGCUUAAUUGUGCGGCCACCAAACUCGAACAACUGUUAACAAUGGAUAUCUUGGUUCUC
Molecule: unclassified non-coding RNA, 318 nt
Filed under: fungal sp.
Lineage: Eukaryota; Fungi
Description: partial internal transcribed spacer region
Rfam family: Eukaryotic small subunit ribosomal RNA (bases 1-46)
Source: RNAcentral